RNAcentral lists this long non-coding RNA (969 nucleotides) under Gossypium barbadense (sea-island cotton). RNAcentral describes it as "long non-coding RNA (GBAR_LNC018804)". The record is from RNAcentral. Lineage: Eukaryota; Viridiplantae; Streptophyta; Magnoliopsida; Malvales; Malvaceae.
UACUUUACUAGCUUAUACAUGCCAUUGGUUUUCAAAAUAAAGUUUCUUUAUAUAUCGAAAUCUUGAGGUUGAUAGUGUGAUACGUCUCCGACCAAAUCCAACCUCUGAGCUCUUAACACUACAAAACAGGGGAAAAGGAACACGGGGUAAGCACUUUGUGCUUAGUAAGUUCAUGCAACAAGAAUUAUAUUUACCAUAUUAUACACCUAUCAUUUAAUAACACAAGCACACAUCCAAUUUACAUAAACAUAUACCUAUCACAUACAAACUCAACUUUUGCAUUAGUUAAGUAAACAUCAUAUAAAUUCAUUACAAAGACAAAUGAUUGAUGAGCUCAUCAAUUCCAUAUUUUUCAUUCCCUUGUUAUUUUUCCAUAUUUAUCCCGUUGAAUUUCUCGGAAUUUCGAUGGAUUUUCAGAGGUACACUUUAGUGUACAAAUCCGGGUCCGUCAAUUCAUAUUCAUGUGCGCACAUUUCCAUUUCAGAGAGCACACUCCCGCGAACCUCAUCCUUACAGCGGGAUUACCAGUCCAGGCUAAAUCCCCUGUAAUGUAAACUCAUAGAGUAUUGUCGGGAUUACCAGUCCAGGCUAAAUUCAGACCCCAAUUCGGAUUACCCGUCCGGGCUAAAUCCAUUUUCCACAUAUUCUUCGGGAGGGCUAUAUCAGGAUAGGAUCACCCGUCCGGGCUAGAUCCUUUUUACAAUCAAUUCCUUUUCAGAGAUCCAUUGAAUUUUCCUUUCAUUCAACCGGGAAUUAUUUUCUCUUUUCAUCAAGAAUAUCAAUACUUCAUCAAUUAUCAUAAAAUAAACAUCCAACUCAUUUUCACAUCAAUAACAAACAUUUCAAGCAUUUAAGAAUAUAAUUCAAGUUACACAAACUUACCUCGAUACUUGUUCGUAACCAAAAAUCUACUAGUCCCAAACUUUUUCUUUCCCUCGAUCUUGCUUCGUAUUUGAAUUUUCCGGAUCU